UACGUAGGGGGCAAGCGUUGUCCGGAAUCAUUGGGCGUAAAGCGCGCGUAGGCGGCCCGGUAAGUCCGCUGUAAAAGUCCAGGGCUCAACCCUGGAAAGCCGGUGGAUACUGUCGGGCUAGAGUCCGGAAGAGGCGAGUGGAAUUCCUGGUGUAGCGGUGGAAUGCGCAGAUAUCAGGAGGAACACCGAUGGCGAAGGCAGCUCGCUGGGACGGUACUGACGCUAAGGCGCGAAAGCGUGGGGAGCGAACAGG
Molecule: ribosomal RNA, 253 nt
Filed under: uncultured bacterium
Lineage: Bacteria
Description: partial 16S ribosomal RNA
Rfam family: Bacterial small subunit ribosomal RNA
Source: RNAcentral